This is a long non-coding RNA of Oncorhynchus tshawytscha (Chinook salmon), 745 nucleotides long. The record is from Ensembl. Lineage: Eukaryota; Metazoa; Chordata; Actinopteri; Salmoniformes; Salmonidae.
GCCAUACAAAACGCCUCAUCACCAGCCAUACAAAACGCCUCAUCACCAGCCAUACAAAACGCCUCAUCACCAGCCAUACAAAACGCCUCAUCACAAGGGCUAUUUAAGGUUCCCUGGCCCCUCUGUGUUGGCUAAAGACAGGGCUAUUUAAUUAAGGUUCCCUAGCCCCUCUGUGUUGGGUAAGGACUGGUCUAUUUCAUUAAGGUUCCCUGUCCCCUCUGUGUUGGGUAAAGACAGGAUUUUUACCCCCCCCCUGGCCGUCAAGAGGAGUGCACCAGCUUUGGCGUCUACUCUGAGCCACUCCUGUAGCUUCGUUUCACUGAGACCUAUUCUAUAAUUUCAGAUCUAAAGGAGUGGGGAUACAGAGGGGUAGUUUGGGCAUUUAGAAAGGGUUGAGAUAUGGACAUGUGGACCCUGUAUGUAUCAAUGGUGAUCCUGAACUGGCAGAUCUCAAAUCAUCUAGUCUCUCUUGUUCAGAUCACUGUGUCUCAAACAUCUAGUCCCUCUUGUUCAGAUCACUGUGUCUCAAUCAUCUAGUCUCUUGUUCAGAUCACUGUGUCUCAAACAUCUAAUCUCUCUUGUUCAGAUCACUGUGUCUCAAACAUCUAAUCUCUCUUGUUCAGAUCACUGUGUCUCAAACAUCUAAUCUCUCUUGUUCAGAUCACUGUGUCUCAAACAUCUAGUCUCUCUUGUUCAGAUCACUGUGUCUCAAACAUCUAGUCUCUCUUGUUCAGAUCACUGUGUC